Molecule: ribosomal RNA, 401 nt
Filed under: Bacillus sp. A05
Lineage: Bacteria; Bacillati; Bacillota; Bacilli; Caryophanales; Bacillaceae
Description: bacterial SSU rRNA
Rfam family: Bacterial small subunit ribosomal RNA
Source: RNAcentral
GGUCUUGACAUCUCGUGGCAACCCUAGAGAUAGGGCGUUGGCCUUGGGGGGACAGGAUCACAGGUGGCGCAUGGUUGUCGUCAGUUCGUGUCGUGAGAUGUUGGGUUAAGUCCCGCAACGAGCGCAACCCUUGAUUUUAGUUGCCAGCAUUCAGUUGGGCACUAUAAGGUGACUGCCGGUGACAAACCGGAGGAAGGUGGGGAUGACGUCAAAUCAUCAUGCCCCUUAUGACCUGGGCUACACACGUGCUACAAUGGAUGGUACAAAGGGCUGCGAGACCGCGAGGUUAAGCGAAUCCCAUAAAACCAUUCUCAGUUCGGAUUGCAGGCUGCAACUCGCCUGCAUGAAGCCGGAAUCGCUAGUAAUCGCGGAUCAGCAUGUCGCGGUGAAUACGUUCCCGG